UACGGAGGGGGCGAGCGUUGUCCGAAGUUACUGGGCGUAAAGCGCGCGUAGGCGGGUUGGUAAGUCCGCUGUGAAAGCCCGGAGCUUAACUCCGGAGGGUCGGUGGAUACUGCCAGUCUUGAAGGUGCUAGGGGGAGAUGGAAUUACCGGUGUAGCGGUGGAAUGCGUAGAGAUCCGGAAGAACACCGGUGGCGAAGGCGGUCUGCUGGGCAGUAGCUGACACUGAGGCGCGACAGCGUGGGGAGCAAACAGG
This 253-nucleotide ribosomal RNA is filed under the name uncultured bacterium. Its description in RNAcentral is "partial 16S ribosomal RNA". It matches the Rfam family "Bacterial small subunit ribosomal RNA", at positions 524 to 776 of the family's 1533-position model. The record is from RNAcentral.